RNAcentral lists this ribosomal RNA (450 nucleotides) under uncultured bacterium. RNAcentral describes it as "partial 16S ribosomal RNA". It matches the Rfam family "Bacterial small subunit ribosomal RNA", at positions 354 to 796 of the family's 1533-position model. The record is from RNAcentral.
GUGGGGAAUUUUGGACAAUGGGCGAAAGCCUGAUCCAGCCAUGCCGCGUGCAGGAUGAAGGCCUUCGGGUUGUAAACUGCUUUUGUACGGAACGAAAAGACUCCUUCUAAUAAAGGGGGUCCAUGACGGUACCGUAAGAAUAAGCACCGGCUAACUACGUGCCAGCAGCCGCGGUAAUACGUAGGGUGCAAGCGUUAAUCGGAAUUACUGGGCGUCAAGCGUGCGCAGGCGGUUAUAUAAGACAGAUGUGAAAUCCCCGGGCUCAACCUGGGAACUGCAUUUGUGACUGUAUAGCUAGAGUACGGUAGAGGGGGAUGGAAUUCCGCGUGUAGCAGUGAAAUGCGUAGAUAUGCGGAGGAACACCGAUGGCGAAGGCAAUCCCCUGGACCUGUACUGACGCUCAUGCACGAAAGCGUGGGGAGCAAACAGGAUUAGAAACCCCAGUAGUCC